Molecule: ribosomal RNA, 539 nt
Filed under: uncultured archaeon
Lineage: Archaea
Description: bacterial SSU rRNA
Rfam family: Archaeal small subunit ribosomal RNA
Source: RNAcentral
GCCUUGCGCGCACGGCGGUACGGCUCAGUAACACGUCGGCAACCUACCCUCGGGAGGGGGAUAACCCCGGGAAACCGGGGCUAAUCCCCCAUAGGCCUGAGGUACUGGAAGGUCCUCAGGCCGAAAGGGGCUCUGCCCGCCCGAGGAUGGGCCGGCGGCCGAUUAGGUAGUUGGUGGGGUAACGGCCCACCAAGCCGAAGAUCGGUACGGGCCAUGAGAGUGGGAGCCCGGAGAUGGACACUGAGACACGGGUCCAGGCCCUACGGGGCGCAGCAGACGCGAAACCUCCGCAAUGCGGGCAACCGCGACGGGGGGACCCCCAGUGCCGUGGCAUCGCCACGGCUUUUCCGGAGUGUAAAGAGCUCCGGGAAUAAGGGCUGGGCAAGGCCGGUGGCAGCCGCCGCGGUAAUACCGGCGGCCCGAGUGGUGGCCGCUAUUAUUGGGCCUAAAGCGUCCGUAGCCGGGCNANUAAGUCCCUGGCGAAAUCCCACGGCUCAGCCGUGGNGCUUGCUGGGGAUACUGCUGGCCUUNGNACCGGG